UACGAAGGGGGGCUAGCGUUGCUCGGAAUGACUGGGCGUAAAGGGCGCGUAGGCGGAUGGCACAGUCAGAUGUGAAAUUCCCGGGGCUUAACCUGGGGGCUGCAUUUGAUACGUGUUGUCUUGAGUUCGGAAGAGGGUCGUGGAAUUCCCAGUGUAGAGGUGAAAUUCGAUAGAUAUUGGGAAGAACACCGGUGGCGAAGGCGGCGACCUGGUCCGACACUGGACGCUGAGGCGCGAAAGCGUGGGGAGCAAACAGGAAUUGAGAAACCCGUUGGUAGUCCAAGACCAAGAUCCUUCC
RNAcentral lists this ribosomal RNA (298 nucleotides) under uncultured bacterium. Its description in RNAcentral is "partial 16S ribosomal RNA". It matches the Rfam family "Bacterial small subunit ribosomal RNA", at positions 524 to 813 of the family's 1533-position model. The record is from RNAcentral.